GAUGAACGCUGGCGGCGUGCCUAAUACAUGCAAGUCGAGCGAACAGAUGAGGAGCUUGCUCCUCUGACGUUAGCGGCGGACGGGUGAGUAACACGUGGAUAACCUACCUAUAAGACUGGGAUAACUUCGGGAAACCGGAGCUAAUACCGGAUAAUAUAUUGAACCGCAUGGUUCAAUAGUGAAAGACGGUUUUGCUGUCACUUAUAGAUGGAUCCGCGCCGCAUUAGCUAGUUGGUAAGGUAACGGCUUACCAAGGCAACGAUGCGUAGCCGACCUGAGAGGGUGAUCGGCCACACUGGAACUGAGACACGGUCCAGACUCCUACGGGAGGCAGCAGUGUGGAAUCUUCCGCAAUGGGCGAAAGCCUGACGGAGCAACGCCGCGUGAGUGAGGAAGGUCUUCGGAUCGUAAAACUCUGUUAUUAGGGAAGAACAAAUGUGUAAGUAACUAUGCACGUCUUGACGGUACCUGAUCAGAAAGCCACGGCUAACUACGUG
This 497-nucleotide ribosomal RNA is filed under the name uncultured bacterium. RNAcentral's name for it is "partial 16S ribosomal RNA". It matches the Rfam family "Bacterial small subunit ribosomal RNA", at positions 28 to 507 of the family's 1533-position model. The record is from RNAcentral.